GAUGAAGAACGCAGCGAAAUGCGAUACUUGGUGUGAAUUGCAGAAUCCCGUGAACCAUCGAGUCUUUGAACGCAAGUUGCGCCCGAAGCCAUCAGGUUGAGGGCACGUCUGCCUGGGCGUCACAUAUCGUUGCCCAAUGCCUAUUGCAGUGCAAUAGGAAUUUCUAGGGCGAAUGAUGGCUUCCCGUGAGCGUUGUUGCCUCGCGGUUGGUUGAAAAUCGAGUCCUUGGUAGGGUGUGCCAUGGUAGAUGGUGGUCGAGUUAGAACUAUACCGAUCAUGUGCAUGCUCCCCAAAAUAUGGCCUCUAUGACCCACGCGCGUCUUUUGACGCUCAUGACGAGACCUCAGGUCAGGCGGGGCUACCCGCUGAAUUUAAGCAUAUCAAUAAGCGGAGGA
RNAcentral lists this unclassified non-coding RNA (395 nucleotides) under soil metagenome. Its description in RNAcentral is "partial contains 5.8S ribosomal RNA, internal transcribed spacer 2, and large subunit ribosomal RNA". The stretch from base 1 to 122 matches the Rfam family "5.8S ribosomal RNA", at positions 35 to 154 of the family's 154-position model. The record is from RNAcentral.